UAGGGAAUCUUCGGCAAUGGGGGGAACCCUGACCGAGCAACGCCGCGUGAGUGAAGAAGGUUUUCGGAUCGUAAAGCUCUGUUGUUAAGGAAGAACGAGUGUGAGAAUGGAAAGUUCAUACUGUGACGGUACUUAACCAGAAAGGGACGGCUAACUACGUGCCAGCAGCCGCGGUAAUACGUAGGUCCCGAGCGUUGUCCGGAUUUAGUGGGCGUAAAGCGAGCGCAGGCGGUUAGAUAAGUCUGAAGUUAAAGGCAGUGGCUCAACCAUUGUGGGCUUUGGACACUGUUUAACUUGAGUGCAGAAGGGGAGAGUGGAGUUCCAUGUGUAGCGGUGAAAUGCGUAGAUAUAUGGAGGAACACCGGUGGCGGAAGCGGCUCUCUGGUCUGUAACUGACGCUGAGGCUCGAAAGCGUGGGGAGCGAACAGG
This 429-nucleotide ribosomal RNA is filed under the name Bacteroidota bacterium. RNAcentral describes it as "Bacteroidetes bacterium partial 16S ribosomal RNA". It matches the Rfam family "Bacterial small subunit ribosomal RNA", at positions 355 to 776 of the family's 1533-position model. The record is from RNAcentral. Lineage: Bacteria; Pseudomonadati; Bacteroidota.